Molecule: non-coding RNA, 1731 nt
Organism: Coturnix japonica (Japanese quail)
Lineage: Eukaryota; Metazoa; Chordata; Aves; Galliformes; Phasianidae
Source: RefSeq, a predicted model, not a curated record
GAUGGACACCAGCACCCAAAGCCUAAAGUGCUUAAAGGAAGUAAUUAAUUGCAGGCGUUGCUUUGCAGCCCCGGGGUCGGCUCGGAUGUGAUGCUACAGCUCCAUCUCAGAUCUACACGAUGGCUUUUCCCAGCAGGAUUUUGCUCUCAGCUCCAUCCAGGCAAGGCCCUGUUGCGUGCCCUUACAACACGGCUGCAGUUAUUGCAUCAACAGCUUUGCUGCUUGCAAUAGGAUUUGCCCCAGGUCUUGCAUUGUGCCUCAGUGCUUUGCAGCCACGGUUCAGUGCUUUGCCACUGCAGGAGUGCAAAGCUCAUCCUGGCCCGGCUCACCCCUGGCUCACAGCAGCACCGUUGGUGUUACGGCGAGUCAGACCCUGGCAAUAAAGGAGAAUUAUGGCCGAUGGAGACACGCUUGGAGCUGGGGGCUGUGGUGAAGGGCUGAAGUGUUUUUGCAGUGCUGCUAUAGAUCACAGCGAUGUUCUGACCUCCAGGAAUCAGAAGGGACCCCCUGGACCCGAGGCCACAGAGUGACAUGAAGAACCAAGGUCUCUGCAGCGCUCUGUUCUCUGAUGGAUCUUCCAGAUGUUCCCUCUUUGGGGUUUCUUUCUUUGCUCACACAGCACUCCAGAGGCUGCAUCUCAGAGAUGGAUGGAUAUUGGCUUUGGCAAUGCCCCUCCUGCUCCCAUCUUCUGUGUUUCUUGCACAGCUGUUUUGCUUCUCAUCAGAGCAGAGACAGGAGCACCCAAAUCCCUGCUGUAUGGCUCAGCCACAAGCUCUGUCUGCUCAUGGUGGUGAGAUGGGGACGCUUCCUUCUCCCACUCCUCCCAUAGGAACUCCAUGGACCCACAGGGACACCAUGGAUUCAUAGGGACCUCAGUGACCUGUAGGGAUGCCACGGACCCAUAGGGACACCACAGACCUAUGGGGAAACCACAUAUCCAUAGGGACACCAUGGACCCAUGGGGAUACCAGUGACCCAUAGGGACACCACAGGCCCUAAGGGACACUAGUGACCCACAGGGGCACUACAGACCCAUGGAGACCCCAUGGGCCUCCAGCACAGCUUUGGAGUUUAAGGAAGCUGACCACCAAGGCACCAGCUUGGGUUGCACAGUGAACCCAACACGUUUGCAGCUGCCCCCCAGCAAAGAGAAGGACGGGAUAGUGACCACAGCAUAACCAACACAGGUAUGGUAAAAGGAAGGUGGGCAGCCCUGAUGUGCCCCAUCCCCACCCUACAAGGAUCAGCAAUUACAUGGGAGCUUGAGGCUCAUCCAUUUGCCCUGCCCAGCCAUAUAUCACACCCGGAGCAGCUGGACAUCAGGAUGCAAUGCAGAGGGCAAUGGGCCACAGCCCAUCUGUGCAGCUCCAGGACCCGUCCAGGGAAUGAAAAAUUAAUACGUGUCUGUUUGGUCCGGCAGCAGCUGAGCAUCAUCCUCCAUCUGGAGGGGCAGUGCUGGGGGUUGGAGGAAUCCCCAGGAUCGCAGGAUGUAGGUGUGGGAAAUGGGGUGGGGGUCUCUGUGAUAAUGUGUGCCAAUGGUGGGUUUAAGGUGUUUUUGCUCUGUGUUUCAGCAUCUUGAGAAGGAGGGACGAUAAGGAUCUAAAAGGAAGUGGGAAUUAUUGGCUUAUUUCAUCACAGCAUCACACGGUUCUGGCCCAUGGAGCGCUCAACGCUGGGAUGAGCUGCAGUGUGAAUCCAUCCCAGUGCUGCCUGCUCUGCCAUAGGGAAACU